Molecule: long non-coding RNA, 430 nt
Organism: Ctenocephalides felis (cat flea)
Lineage: Eukaryota; Metazoa; Arthropoda; Insecta; Siphonaptera; Pulicidae
Exons: 3
Source: RefSeq, a predicted model, not a curated record
AAAUGAAAAUUUGCACGUUGUACUUGAAAUUCAAGCCAACUUUUUACCUAAAGAGAACAAAAUGUUUAUGGGAAGUGAGAACCGUGAUUCAGAAUAUGCAGACUAUUUUAUAUAUGGUCUGAUGGUAAGGUCGGAGAUGAACCCAAGGAUAAGCGCCAAAUAAUUGGAAAGCGACUGUAAAUGGAAGCGCAUGGAAUAAAUCUGAUAAAAGAAAUCAGUAUUAUCUUAGUCAAUUCGGAGAUCGUUUUGCUGAUUUAAAUUUUGGUAAUACAAAUGUACGCAACAUCUUUGCUGAGGCACUUGAAAACUUAGUUAACACUGGAAUAUCUGGAAUAAAAUUACGUUAUGCAAAACAUCUGCUGAUUGAUGAGACUUUAAUGGAUGAGGCUUUCAGCUCUGCUCCUGGAUUUGUUCAUAAUGAUUAUGGAUU